CUACAGGCUUAACACAUGCAAGUCGAGGGGCAGCAUGGUCUUAGCUUGCUAAGGCCGAUGGCGACCGGCGCACGGGUGAGUAACACGUAUCCAACCUGCCGUCUACUCUUGGACAGCCUUCUGAAAGGAAGAUUAAUACAAGAUGGCAUCAUGAGUCCGCAUGUUCACAUGAUUAAAGGUAUUCCGGUAGACGAUGGGGAUGCGUUCCAUUAGAUAGUAGGCGGGGUAACGGCCCACCUAGUCUUCGAUGGAUAGGGGUUCUGAGAGGAAGGUCCCCCACAUUGGAACUGAGACACGGUCCAAACUCCUACGGGAGGCAGCAGUGAGGAAUAUUGGUCAAUGGGCGAGAGCCUGAACCAGCCAAGUAGCGUGAAGGAUGACUGCCCUAUGGGUUGUAAACUUCUUUUAUAAAGGAAUAAAGUCGGGUAUGCAUACCCGUUUGCAUGUACUUUAUGAAUAAGGAUCGGCUAACUCCGUGCCAGCAGCCGCGGUAAUACGGAGGAUCCGAGCGUUAUCCGGAUUUAUUGGGUUUAAAGGGAGCGUAGAUGGAUGUUUAAGUCAGUUGUGAAAGUUUGCGGCUCAACCGUAAAAUUGCAGUUGAUACUGGAUAUCUUGAGUGCAGUUGAGGCAGGCGGAAUUCGUGGUGUAGCGGUGAAAUGCUUAGAUAUCACGAAGAACUCCGAUUGCGAAGGCAGCCUGCUAAGCUGCAACUGACAUUGAGGCUCGAAAGUGUGGGUAUCAAACAGGAUUAGAUACCCUGGUAGUCCACACGGUAAACGAUGAAUACUCGCUGUUUGCGAUAUACAGCAAGCGGCCAAGCGAAAGCGUUAAGUAUUCCACCUGGGGAGUACGCCGGCAACGGUGAAACUCAAAGGAAUUGACGGGGGCCCGCACAAGCGGAGGAACAUGUGGUUUAAUUCGAUGAUACGCGAGGAACCUUACCCGGGCUUAAAUUGCAGAUGAAUUACGGUGAAAGCCGUAAGCCGCAAGGCAUCUGUGAAGGUGCUGCAUGGUUGUCGUCAGCUCGUGCCGUGAGGUGUCGGCUUAAGUGCCAUAACGAGCGCAACCCUUGUUGUCAGUUACUAACAGGUUCCGCUGAGGACUCUGACAAGACUGCCAUCGUAAGAUGUGAGGAAGGUGGGGAUGACGUCAAAUCAGCACGGCCCUUACGUCCGGGGCUACACACGUGUUACAAUGGGGGGGUACAGAGGGCCGCUACCACGCGAGUGGAUGCCAAUCCCAAAAACCUCUCUCAGUUCGGACUGGAGUCUGCAACCCGACUCCACGAAGCUGGAUUCGCUAGUAAUCGCGCAUCAGCCACGGCGCGGUGAAUACGUUCCCGGGCCUUGUACACACCGCCCGUCAAGCCAUGGGAGCCGGGGGUACCUGAAGUGCGUAACCGCGAGGAGCGCCCUAGGGUAAAACUGGUGACUGGGGCUAA
RNAcentral lists this ribosomal RNA (1441 nucleotides) under uncultured organism. RNAcentral describes it as "SSU rRNA". It matches the Rfam family "Bacterial small subunit ribosomal RNA". The record is from RNAcentral.